This 519-nucleotide ribosomal RNA is filed under the name Anaplasma bovis. Its description in RNAcentral is "bacterial SSU rRNA". It matches the Rfam family "Bacterial small subunit ribosomal RNA", at positions 79 to 635 of the family's 1533-position model. The record is from RNAcentral. Lineage: Bacteria; Pseudomonadati; Pseudomonadota; Alphaproteobacteria; Rickettsiales; Anaplasmataceae.
GCUAUGAGAACAAUUAGUGGCAGACGGGUGAGUAAUGCAUAGGAAUCUACCUAGUAGUAUAGGAUAGCCACUAGAAAUGGUGGGUAAUACUGUAUAAUCCCUGCGGGGGAAAGAUUUAUCGCUACAUGAUGAGCCUAUGUUAGAUUAGCUAGUUGGUGGGGUAAUGGCCUACCAAGGCAGUGAUCUAUAGCUGGUCUGAGAGGAUGAUCAGCCACACUGGAACUGAGACACGGUCCAGACUCCUACGGGAGGCAGCAGUGGGGAAUAUUGGACAAUGGGCGCAAGCCUGAUCCAGCUAUGCCGCGUGAGUGAGGAAGGCCUUAGGGUUGUAAAACUCUUUCAGUGGGGAAGAUAAUGACGGUACCCACAGAAGAAGUCCCGGCAAACUCCGUGCCAGCAGCCGCGGUAAUACGGAGGGGGCAAGCGUUGUUCGGAAUUAUUGGGCGUAAAGGGCAUGUAGGUGGUUUGGUAAGUUAAAGGUGAAUGCCAGGGCUUAACCCUGGAGCUGCUUUAAUACUG